This 500-nucleotide ribosomal RNA is filed under the name uncultured bacterium. RNAcentral describes it as "bacterial SSU rRNA". It matches the Rfam family "Bacterial small subunit ribosomal RNA", at positions 8 to 506 of the family's 1533-position model. The record is from RNAcentral.
AGAGUUUGAUCAUGGCUCAGGAUGAACGCUAGCGGGAGGCCUAACACAUGCAAGUCGAACGGGAUCCCCGAGCAAUCGGGGUGAGAGUGGCGCACGGGUGAGUAACGCGUAUGCAACCUACCCGUAACAGAGGGAUAGCCCAUAGAAAUGUGGAUUAACACCUCAUAGUUCUUAUUAGUCGCAUGACUGACAAGAUAAAACUCCGGUGGUUACAGAUGGGCAUGCGUGACAUUAGCUAGUUGGUAAGGUAACGGCUUACCAAGGCAACGAUGGUUAGCGGGUCUGAGAGGAUGAUCCGCCACACUGGAACUGGAACACGGACCAGACUCCUACGGGAGGCAGCAGUGAGGAAUAUUGGACAAUGGGCGCAAGCCUGAUCCAGCCAUGCCGCGUGCAGGAAGACGGCCCUAAUCGGGUUGUAAACUGCUUUUUAUACAGGAGAACACUCCCUCGUGAGGGAACUUGACGGUACUGUAUGAAUAAGCACCGGCUAACUCCGU